Molecule: ribosomal RNA, 203 nt
Filed under: uncultured bacterium
Lineage: Bacteria
Description: partial 16S ribosomal RNA
Rfam family: Bacterial small subunit ribosomal RNA
Source: RNAcentral
CGGAUUGGGACUGAGAUACGGCCCAGACUCCUACGGGGGGCAGCAAUUAGGAAUCUUGCACAAUGGGGGAAACCCUGAUGCAGCGACGUCGCGUGGAGGAUGAAAUCUUUCGGGAUGUAAACUCCUUUUCUCAGGGAAGAAACAAAUGACGGUACCUGAGGAAUAAGCCCCGGCUAACUACGUGCCAGCCGCCGCGGUAAAAC